RNAcentral lists this ribosomal RNA (301 nucleotides) under uncultured bacterium. RNAcentral describes it as "partial 16S ribosomal RNA". It matches the Rfam family "Bacterial small subunit ribosomal RNA", at positions 509 to 807 of the family's 1533-position model. The record is from RNAcentral.
CAGUAGCCACGGGAAUACGUAGGGCGCAAGCGUUGUCCGGAAUUAUUGGGCGUAAAGAGCUCGUAGGCGGUCUGUCGCGUCUGGUGUGAAAUCCCGAGGCUCAACCUCGGGCUUGCAUCGGGUACGGGCAGACUAGAGUGCGGUAGGGGAGACUGGAAUUCCUGGUGUAGCGGUGGAAUGCGCAGAUAUCAGGAGGAACACCGAUGGCGAAGGCAGGUCUCUGGGCCGCAACUGACGCUGAGGAGCGAAAGCAUGGGGAGCGAACAGGAUUAGAUACCCGCGUAGUCCCUGUCUCUUAUAC